Molecule: ribosomal RNA, 628 nt
Filed under: Hypogymnia hypotrypella
Lineage: Eukaryota; Fungi; Ascomycota; Lecanoromycetes; Lecanorales; Parmeliaceae
Description: SSU rRNA
Rfam family: Bacterial small subunit ribosomal RNA
Source: RNAcentral
CAGCAGUGAGGAAUAUUGGUCAAUGGCCUAACGGCUGAACCAGCAACUUGGAGGAAUGUAUAGCAAUAGCUACUUGCAUCAUUGUAAAAAUGAUGCAGGAUCGACUAUGUCGAAUAAAAUUCUAGGUAGAAUUUUGAUAAUGACAGCUUCUGCCUAUGUGUCUUGACCAAAUUACGUGCCAGCAGUCGCGGUAAUACGUAGAAGACUAGUGUUAUUCAUGUUUAAUCGGUUUAAAGGGUACCUAGACGGUAAAUCAAGCCUAAAAUUAAAUGAAGGGACUAAUUUACUAGAGUUACUUAUGAGGGGGUAUUAAAGUACUGCUGGUGUAGAGAUGAAAUUCUGUCAUACCUCUUUUCAAUAGAAAAAUAAUGGCACAGGUAUAGGCGAAAGCAUCCCCUUAUGUGAUAACUGACGUUGAGGGACGAAGGCUUUGUGUAGCGAACAGGAUUAGAUACCCCAGUAGUCAAAGCAGAAAAUGAUGAAUGUCAUAGAUUAGAUAAAUAAGUUUAUUCUAUAAAUGAAAGUGUAAGCAUUCCACCUCAAGAGUAAUUUGGCAACAUUGGAACUGAAAUCAUUAGACCGUUUCUGAAACCAGUAGUGAAGUAUGUUAUUUAAUUCGAUGAUCCGC